Molecule: long non-coding RNA, 1238 nt
Organism: Papaver somniferum (opium poppy)
Lineage: Eukaryota; Viridiplantae; Streptophyta; Magnoliopsida; Ranunculales; Papaveraceae
Exons: 7
Source: RefSeq, a predicted model, not a curated record
GUACAAUAUGUAGUGAGUCAGAAGAUAAAGGAGACUACAAGGGCUCUUGUGAAGAAUCUGAAAGGACAUUUUGUGACCCUAUCAACAAAUAAGUUUAGCAGUCAUCUGGUGGAGAAGUUCUUGAAAGAAUCUGAUGAUGAGUUUGUUAUUAAGUUUAUCAUUGAGGAGUUGAUUGAUAAAUCUAACACUCUGAUGCUUCUUCAAGAUCAGUAUGCCAACUUUGUUAUGCAGUAAGAUUUGGAUGUUUCUAAGGAGGUUUCCAUGUUCAAUAAUUUUGCUCUGCAGGAGAUCUAUUGAAGUUUGUGGGGGUAGAGCCGUGUACACAGUGACAAACCAUCUGAUGGGAGAUGUAAAGAAACAGGCAGACCAAUGUUCAGGGGGGAAGAGCAAAAGAAACUGGAUAUUCUUUCAAAUGAUGUAUUUGUUAAGGCUCUCGUAAGCAGUGGAAGAACAGUAAAUCUUCGAGAACUAUUGAGUUAGAUUUGGCUAUGGUGUUCAAUGGAUUUGCAAUUGGUUAAGUAAUUUAUUCAAUCCUUCUUAUCGACAGUCUAUUCUAGUAAAGGGAAGAGGAUGAAGAAGGAACUUUUGUGGAUCCAGCGUUGUGUGGAAGGAUGAUGGUUCCUUGGUGUUGAUAUUUUCACUUACGGGGAGUAAUGCUCAAGAUGGACAUUUAGCUACUGGCCGAAAUGGUGUCAAACGACUAUGAACGGUCAGGCGUCCAAAUAUCUUAUCAUUUCUUCACGGCACAGAGGCCGAGAUUUUUGAUGGUGCUACUCCAAAGCAUACUACCUACAUUGUGACAGAGCCUGUCAUGGCACUCUCUGAGAAGAUUAAGGAACUAGGCCUUGAAGGUACUCAGGGGAAGAAUUUGAAUCUGAACUUGAGGAGUUGGAAGGAGAUGAGUUGGAGGAACAACUUCUACAACCUAUAGUCCAAACUCAGGUUCAAAUCAAGGAGAUGCAUGGAAGGCAUUGCUUGAUGCAGCUGGAGUGAUCAAAGAUUAACCAACUGAUGAAAACUUAAGGGAUUGAAUGGUUGGCUCCGUUGGUGUUUCUGCAACAACUUGAGUUGGUGGAAGGAGAAGAGGGCUUAUAUGGUUAUACCCUGAAAUCACACUCACGCAAGAGGUUCUACCAUUAAAUGGAAGCCAUUAUGUCCCUUAGCAGCUGCAAGUUUUGAGUAAGUUUCUAUGUAGUUUCUGCUUAUAGUGAUUUAAGUGAGAAUGAACUGAACUUAGU